Small nuclear RNA from Diceros bicornis minor, 164 nucleotides. RefSeq annotates it as U1 spliceosomal RNA. NCBI's taxonomy places the organism in Eukaryota, Metazoa, Chordata, Mammalia, Perissodactyla, Rhinocerotidae. The transcript has a single exon. The record is from RefSeq and is a predicted model, not a curated record.
CUACUUACCCGGCACGGAGGAUGCCAUGAUCACGAAGGUGGUUUCCCAGGGCCUGGCUCACCCAUUGCACUCUGGAUGUGCCGACCCCUGCGAUUCUCCCAAACGUGGAAAACUCAACUGCCUCAUUUGUGGUAGUGGGGCCAAAAUAAUUAUUAAAUGCCUAC